RNAcentral lists this ribosomal RNA (512 nucleotides) under uncultured bacterium. RNAcentral's name for it is "bacterial SSU rRNA". It matches the Rfam family "Bacterial small subunit ribosomal RNA", at positions 29 to 518 of the family's 1533-position model. The record is from RNAcentral.
AACGAACGCUGGCGGCGUGCUUAACACAUGCAAGUCGAACGCGAAAGGGACUUCGGUCCUGAGUAAAGUGGCGCACGAGUGAGUAACGCGUAGAUAACCUGUCUUCAUGUCUGGAAUAAUACGCCGAAAGGGGUACUAAUACCGGAUAUUCUUGCUUUUCAUAAGUUAUGCAAGCAAAGGUGGCCUCUGCAUAUGCUACUGCAUGAAGAGGGGUCUGCGUACCAUUAGCUAGUAGGUGGGGUAAUGGCCUACCUAGGCGACGAUGGUUAGCGGGUCUGAGAGGAUGAUCCGCCACACUGGCACUGGAACACGGGCCAGACUCCUACGGGAGGCAGCAGUGAGGAAUAUUGCGCAAUGGGGGAAACCCUGACGCAGCGACGCCGCGUGAGUGAGGAAAAGGCCUUCGGGUCGUAAAGCUCUGUCAAGAGGAAAGAAGUGUACAAUGGCUAAUACCUGUUGUAUUUGACGGUACCUCUAAAGGAAGCACCGGCUAACUCCGUGCCAGCAGCAGC